AUAUCCAUAAGCGGAGGAAAUCUGGCUAACAAGGAUUCCCUCAGUAACGGCGAGUGAAGAGGGAAGAGCUCAGUUUUGAAAUCUGGCAGUGUUUCACUGUCCGAGUUGUAAAUUGUAGAGAAUGUUCAUCCACGCUGGACCACGUCUAAAUUGUAAUGAUCCACAGUCCUUUGAUGGAGUAUCAGAGAGGGUAAUAAUCCCGUCUUUAACGUGGACUGCCAGUGUUUCUGUGAUGCACUCUCUCAGAGUCGAGUAGUUUGGGAAUGCUGCUCUAAUGGGAGGUAAACUCCUUCUAAAGCUAAAUAUUGGCGAGAGACCGAUAGCGAACAAGUACCGUGAGGGAAAGAUGAAAAGAACUCUGGAAAGAGAGUCAAAUAGAACGUGAAAUUGCUGAAAGGGAAGCGUUUGGAGUCAGAUGCGUCUUCAUGCAAUACAACUCAGUGGCAGAGGCUGAGAAGGGUGACUUGAAGACGGGCCAGCAUUCACGAAGACCAUUGAAGAAGGUGCCAUGGAAUGUAGCUCAGUUUUCUGAGUGUUUAUAGCCUUGGUUUCAGAAGCAAUGUGUCUUUGUGAGAUGAGACAGCACGAUUUUUUUUUUCAGUGCUUGAUGGACUGGCAUAAUGGCUCUAAGCGACCCGUCUUGAAACACGGACCAAGGAGUCUAACAUGUAUGCGAGUAUUAGAGUGAUUAAAACUCUGAAUGCACAAUGAAAGUGUUUUUGACUGAGAAUCCUCAAUUUAAGGGGGAGGCAUCAGUACCCCGAGUCUGUUAGUCUUUGACUUGAGAUUUGGAGGCAGAGCAUAUAUGUUGGGACCCGAAAGAUGGUGAACUAUGCCUGAAUAGGGUGAAGUCAGAGGAAACUCUGAUGGAGGCCCGUAGCGAUUCUGACGUGCAAAUCGAUCGUAGAAUUUGGGUAUAGGGGCGAAAGACUAAUCGAACCAUCCUUAGUAGCUGGUUCCUGCC
This 964-nucleotide ribosomal RNA is filed under the name Craterellus connatus. Its description in RNAcentral is "partial large subunit ribosomal RNA". It matches the Rfam family "Eukaryotic large subunit ribosomal RNA", at positions 40 to 962 of the family's 3401-position model. The record is from RNAcentral. Lineage: Eukaryota; Fungi; Basidiomycota; Agaricomycetes; Cantharellales; Hydnaceae.